GACGAACGCUGGCGGCGUGCUUAACACAUGCAAGUCGAACGGAAAGACCCUGCUUUUGUGGGGUGCUCGAGUGGCGAACGGGUGAGUAACACGUGAGUAACCUGCCCUUGACUUUGGGAUAACUUCAGGAAACUGGGGCUAAUACCGGAUAGGAGCUCCUGCUGCAUGGUGGGGGUUGGAAAGUUUCGGCGGUUGGGGAUGGACUCGCGGCUUAUCAGCUUGUUGGUGGGGUAGUGGCUUACCAAGGCUUUGACGGGUAGCCGGCCUGAGAGGGUGACCGGCCACAUUGGGACUGAGAUACGGCCCAGACUCCUACGGGAGGCAGCAGUGGGGAAUAUUGCACAAUGGGCGGAAGCCUGAUGCAGCGACGCCGCGUGCGGGAUGACGGCCUUCGGGUUGUAAACCGCUUUCGCCUGUGACGAAGCGUGAGUGACGGUAAUGGGUAAAGAAGCACCGGCUAACUACGUG
RNAcentral lists this ribosomal RNA (468 nucleotides) under uncultured bacterium. RNAcentral describes it as "partial 16S ribosomal RNA". It matches the Rfam family "Bacterial small subunit ribosomal RNA", at positions 28 to 507 of the family's 1533-position model. The record is from RNAcentral.